RNAcentral lists this ribosomal RNA (452 nucleotides) under uncultured bacterium. RNAcentral describes it as "bacterial SSU rRNA". It matches the Rfam family "Bacterial small subunit ribosomal RNA", at positions 340 to 786 of the family's 1533-position model. The record is from RNAcentral.
UACGGGAGGCAGCAGGGGGAAUAUUGCACAAUGGGCGCAAGCCUGAUGCAGCCAUGCCGCGUGUAUGAAAAAGGCCUUCGGGUUGUAAAGUAUUUUCAGUCGUGAGGAAGGUGUUAAGGUUAAUAACCUUAGCAAUUGACGUUAGCGACAGAAGAAGCACCGGCUAACUCCGUGCCAGCAGCCGCGGUAAUACGGAGGGUGCGAGCGUUAAUCGGAAUUACUGGGCGUAAAGGGCACGCAGGCGGUUAAUUAAGUUGGAUGUGAAAUCCCCGGGCUUAACCUGGGAAUGGCAUUCAAGACUGGUUAGCUAGAGUCUUGUAGAGGGGGUAGAAUUCCAUGUGUAGCGGUGAAUGCGUAGAGAUGUGGAGGAAUACCGGUGGCGAAGGCGGCCCCUGGACAAAGACUGACGCUCAUGUGCGAAAGCGUGGGGAGCAAACGAGGGAUUAGAUACC